This is a long non-coding RNA of Daphnia pulicaria, 181 nucleotides long. RefSeq lists it as uncharacterized. The record is from RefSeq and is a predicted model, not a curated record. The transcript is spliced from 2 exons. NCBI's taxonomy places the organism in Eukaryota, Metazoa, Arthropoda, Branchiopoda, Diplostraca, Daphniidae.
CUGCAACUUUCAAAUGGCUAAAGAAGAAUUCAUCGCCAUCAUGUCGACGUUUGUUCUACAGAAAAACAGUCCCUACACGCAAAGCAUCCAACUAGCAAUAUUAAAUCUGCAAGAAAUUGGACUGGUCGACUUUUGGGACACGUGGUUCCGCCCAAUGCCUCCUCAAUGUACCGGAAAACCC